GAUGAACGCUGGCGGCGUGCUUAACACAUGCAAGUCGAACGGAAAGGCCCUGCUUUUGGGGUGUGCUCGAGUGGCGCACGGGUGUGAAACACGUGAGUAACCUGCCCUUCACUGGGGGAUAACUGCAGGAAACGGGGGCUAAUACCGGAUAGGAGCUCCUGCUGCGGGGGGGGGGUGGGAAAGUUUCGGCGGUUGGGGAUGGACUCGCGGCUUAUCAGCUUGUUGGUGGGGUAGUGGCUUACCAAGGCUUUGACGGGUAGCCGGCCUGAGAGGGUGACCGGCCACAUUGGGACUGAGAUACGGCCCAGACUCCUACGGGAGGCAGCAGUGGGGAAUAUUGCACAAUGGGCGGAAGCCUGAUGCAGCGACGCCGCGUGCGGGAUGACGGCCUUCGGGUUGUAAACCGCUUUCGCCUGUGACGAAGCGAGAGUGACGGUACUGGGUAAAGAAGCACCGGCUAACUACGUG
This 468-nucleotide ribosomal RNA is filed under the name uncultured bacterium. RNAcentral's name for it is "partial 16S ribosomal RNA". It matches the Rfam family "Bacterial small subunit ribosomal RNA", at positions 28 to 507 of the family's 1533-position model. The record is from RNAcentral.